This 297-nucleotide long non-coding RNA is filed under the name Capsella rubella. Its description in RNAcentral is "long non-coding RNA (CRUB_LNC001315)". Lineage: Eukaryota; Viridiplantae; Streptophyta; Magnoliopsida; Brassicales; Brassicaceae. The record is from RNAcentral.
ACACUCCCUCAUUCUCUUCAACGUAACACUCAACACACAACACAACACCCCCCCAAAGGUAUUAUUAGUCUUUUUGUUCUUCUUUUUACGUACCGUUUUAGGUCCAUCCUAAGUUGACAUCUAUAUAUAAAAUAUACUGUUAUUUUUACCGCAUGUUUUACUCGUGCUUUCUUUCUUUUUUACUUCGAAUACUUGAAGAUAUAUGAAUUUUUAGGAAACUAUAUGGAGAGUUCUUAUUGUUGUUAUAUAUAUAUAUGUAUGCAAUAAAUAUUUCGUUAAUCCAAACUAUUACUUUGC